This 253-nucleotide ribosomal RNA is filed under the name uncultured bacterium. Its description in RNAcentral is "partial 16S ribosomal RNA". It matches the Rfam family "Bacterial small subunit ribosomal RNA", at positions 524 to 776 of the family's 1533-position model. The record is from RNAcentral.
UACAGAGGUCUCAAGCGUUGUUCGGAUUCAUUGGGCGUAAAGGGUGCGUAGGCGGCGCGCUAAGUCAGGUGUGAAAUUUCGGAGCUUAACUCCGAAACUGCAUUUGAUACUGGCGUGCUUGAGGACUGGAGAGGAGACUGGAAUUCAUGGUGUAGCAGUGAAAUGCGUAGAGAUCAUGAGGAAGACCAGUGGCGAAGGCGGGUCUCUGGACAGUUACUGACACUGAGGCACGAAGGCCAGGGGAGCAAACGGG